CAAUAUUAAUAUUAUAAAGCAAUGAGAAUAUUUCUGGUGUGCCAAAAUUUCAGCAGUUUGGCGGUUUGACACGCGAUCCGAAUCAUGAUUUGACACGCUGAUUCAUUACGCUCCGAAUCUUCCUGAAGCAGUGUUUUGAAAUCGGCCAUCACUAAAUAAGUCGUUAUUUUGUUUUUUUUGGCGCACCAAAACUAUUCUCGUCGCUUUAUAAUAUUAAUAUUGAACCACUGUACUCACAUGAACUGAUUUAAAUAUGUUUUUAGUACCUUUAUGGAUCUUGAGAGGAAAUGUCAUUGCUCCCUAUGUAGGCCUCACGGAGCCAUCAGAUUUAAACAAAAAUAUCUUAAUUUGUGUUCCGAAGAUCAACGAAGGUCUUACGGGUGUAAAACGGCAUGAGGGUGAGUAAUUAAUGACAGAAUUUUCAUUUUUGGGUGAACUAACCCUUUAAGGAAAUUUUUAUAAUAAGUUAUAAUAGGCCUACUAACUUUAAAAUUAUUUCUACUCUAAUCCUUUUUUUUUUUUUUUUUUUUUUAAACAUUUAAAUAAUGGCUGUCAACUUGAUGGAUUUAUUCAAACAUGCAUUAUAUAGGCUAUUGAAUAACAUUAAAAAUUAUAAUUAAUAUGCAAUAUGGUGCAUAUAUUUAGCUAAAUGCUCAUCUCUAGAGUUAAUUUUUCUAGCUGACUAACGAGUUUAUUGUCACUGAAUAUGUUUGUUCUGAGGUAAAUAUGACGUUACGUUUGUUUGUUUACAAGCUGUUACCGUCAUUUCGCGGUUGAAACACUGAUUAAACGAUUACACGAGACAUGAUAUGGAUGACGGAAAGUUGUUCUGUAUCCUUUAACAUACCUUUAGGUGUUCAUUCAUGUUUAUUUCGCGCUGUAACUGGUAUAACAGCGGAGGAGAGGAUCAGUUCACGUGCGCGUCAGGCUGCCGCUUCUUUUGAACUGAAGCACUGCGAUCUGUCGCGUCACAUUAAAUAGCGCCCAAUCCGUAUUCUCGUGCUUUUUUAAGUGGAUAUACGGAAAUCCUUGACCUUUCCUAGUGGGUAUAAGGCAUAUACCUGCGUAUCACGUUAACUACACCACUGGGGGAUCCCCCUAGGGAGAAAUCGCGGGGGCCCCACGCAAUUGCGUGCUUUGCGUGGUGGGUAAACACUCUACUGACUGUUAUGUGGUUGUCUACACAAAUCAGUGUCAUUUAUUUAUUGGCAUAUUAAUUUAUCUAUUUAUUAAAUAUUAAAUAAUAUUAAAUAACAUUUUAACUAAUGUUUUAGUAAAUGUAGAUGUCAAUACGUGAAACACAUUUUAGUUUACCUGUCAAAACAUUUUACAGUCUAUGACAUUUUAAAGGUUUAGUCUAGAAAAAUGGGACAAUUUGGAAAUCCAAAAGUGUUUGCAAUACAACUAUAGCCUUUUUAUGUCUUGUUCUGUAAGAUUUCUUGUCAAUCCACACCUACAACACUCACCUUAUAACUUACUACAGCCGACACAGCCAGUGAUUUCUGUGCUAUGCUUUCCAAGGCCGAGACAAUGUCUGUCAGCUCUGUGGGUGAUUAAUGUGAACACUGAGCUGUUCUCUGACACCCUGCACUUAAAACAAUUGAACACCAUUAUUCCUGGUGAGGGUCAAACAAAAAAGGUUCACGUUUGCUGAUGUACUUCCUAGGCUUUAUAUUUUGGUAUGACCUGGAACUUUGCCCGGACACGUAUAUCAGCUCAGUUGCUGCCUUGUGAAAUUAUCAUGGCAUUUUUAGAUCUAGGACGCUGUGUACUCGAGGCAGGUCCCCGGCAAUGACCAUCUGGUUCAGGAAAUGGCUGUUAGAGAAAUACUGAGCCAACACUGAAAAUACUGUAUGUUAUAUGCACUGACUCUACCUUCAAAUUCUUUUAAAAUCUCUGUCUUUGUCUAUGACAAGAGAAAACAAUUAGCAAGACAUUUAACCCUCUAUUGCAUGAUGUUAAAAAUAUUAAAUACAUUACAAGCUCAUGAUACAUAUAAGAUGGCAAUAAAAUGGUUACAAAUGAAGAGAUGACUUUGAAUGAACCAAUAAUAAUAUUAUAAACCAAUAAUAAACUUAAUUUAAAUAUAUAUAUAUAUAUAUAUAUACAUACACAUACACACACACACACACGUGCAUCAUAUCUUUUUAUUUAAUUAAUUUUUGAGGUGUAAAAAUAGUGAAAUAAAUAGAAAUAAAUUAAUAAAAUAGCUUUCCAUUAUCACACAAUGUAGCCUUCUAGCAACAUAAAUAACCCUCACAAAAAAAUUUACAUGUGAAAUAGAGGGUUAAGUAUCCACCAAGUGGACAAGUAUCCACAAAGUAUGGCACUAGCCAAUCUUCUAUUUUCAAGUUAAUACUGAAGAAAAGAUUGAAAAGAAUCAGAAUCUGCUUACUCAGCAAAUGUAUUUAUUCUCUGAGGGAAAGAUUAAUGCUUGACAAAACCACAACAUCUGGGUUUGGGUUGGAAAAUUCACUGCUUAAAUAAACAUUUCUUUAAAAAAAAUUCAUGUCACUUAGGACCUUGAGACUGAGAGUACAGUAACAAACACCUAGGCAUAUGUACAUAUUGCUAAACACAAACACAAACUGGCAUUUUUCUCUGUCAAGUUUCUAGAUGUCAAUCUAGUCUAUGAACAUAUCUAACCCUGUGAACAUAGAAUUACUCAUAAUUUUCAUCCAAAAAGACUCCUUUCAAUUUAGGACUCAAGGAUAGGGAGACCAAAAUGUAGACAAACAUACAGCUUAUCAAGUGGAAAAGGAAAUCUCAACUUACUCCCUGAUUUUGAGCUAGUAAAAAGACGAAAGGGUUUGGCAGAACCUGGAAUGAUCUUUUUUAAUAACACAAUGCAGAUGUAAGCCAAAGUGGCUUGAACUCAAAAUUGUGCUGUCAUGUUCUAUAAAACAUUUUGUACCUGAAGACUUUUAAAGUGGGGGUCUAAUGCUAUUUUAUGCAUUCUGACUUAUUUACACUGUUAAAGAGUUGCAUUCUCAUGCUAAACAUGGCCAAACUGUCAACACAGGAGUUGGACGUAUGACAGAGUAUUUCUGUGCCAAAUACACUCCUUCCGGAUUAGGAUAAAUUUCGGAAAGUUUUUUUUUUUUUUUUUUUUUUUUUUUACAGGUAUUGCGUAAUAAAGGGCAGAAUUCCUUGUAUGGGCACUUCUCUCUGAUCAGCGUGUGCCCGCGUCACCCAGAGCAAGAGCAAGAGCACGCCCAUCAACGUGCUUCGUUCAGGUUAUGAAAGCAGAGAGAUUUUUUAAACAAUGUCACCAAAGAAGUGUAUUUUUUCUUGUGAGGGAAAGAUACCCUUUUUCAGUUUCCCAAAGUACCCAGCGUUAAGGGAACAGUGGAUGCAGUUUAUUUUUCCGGGGCAGCAACGGAGUUUGCAUGUAUGUUUGUUUGUUCCCGGAAUUUCGGUGAUGAAUGUUUUGUAAACAAGUCCCAGUUCGACACUGGAUUUGCAGAUUGCGGAAGAUGGAGUUCCCAUUGACAUGCAUUAUGCGACUGAGACACCACAACGGUUAAAAAUCAUCAUUUGUGUUCUACUGAAGAAACAAAGUCACCUACAUCUUGGAUGCCCUGGGGCCGCAAGACCCCGCCGAACAUAUACAUCUGGGAUGGAAGGAGGGUGCACUAACACCUCAUAGCACCAGUAACUUGACAACCUACCUAGUACAGUUUUCCUCAGCGUUUGCAAUGUCUGCAGAAAGGAGACAAUGGGCGAAGACCUCACCUUUGGAAAAGACUGUUGAUUUUAUACUCUAAAAAUGUAAGUAUCACUACUUAAAAAUUAAGAUUACCCCAGAAUGAAUUGCAUUGCUAGCCCACCCCAACACUUACGCACAAUAAUAAUGAUAAAUUCUGACCAAUACUUAAUUAUAUUACUUUUUUUUUUUUACUGAAAAUUGCUUUGGUAAACAAGUAAAAUGUUUUAUCAUAUGACAUAGCUAUGCAUGAAUACACACCAGACAAAUGCAGCCAAAGUGAAUACAUCUCAAUUUAUUUUCAGCCAAGCAAUGAAUUAAUGCAAGAAUUAAAAUAAUUUUAUGUACAAUAGGAAACAUGAAUAAAUGGGGAAAAAGAAUGAAUAAAAGUAACCAUCACAAUUAAGAAAUACAUAUACAAGUCAAGAACGCAUGAAACAAAGCUUUAUUCAAACUUAUUGUUCUAACAAUCAUGUAUUUACAGGCAGUGAACUCCACAUUCUACUGCCAUCUCAACACAGCUGUGCCAAUUCUGCAGCUGACCACUGUGGCCACCUUCGCCUGUCUUUGCUGUCCAUCAUGUCCCUCAUUGCUGCUCUCCUCAAUAGGGACAUUGUUGAGCCAGAAGAUGAGGAAGACCAUGUCGUCGGUCCCCCUGAACCCCACAACCUUAAAGCAAGAGUGGGAGAACGUGUCUGCUCCAAACAUUUGUGUGCCUGAACAUGACUACCUGUAAAACAUUUAAACAGAUUAAAACAUUUUACUAUUCA
Long non-coding RNA from Ctenopharyngodon idella (grass carp), 4476 nucleotides. RefSeq lists it as uncharacterized. NCBI's taxonomy places the organism in Eukaryota, Metazoa, Chordata, Actinopteri, Cypriniformes, Xenocyprididae. The record is from RefSeq and is a predicted model, not a curated record. The transcript has 4 exons.